Long non-coding RNA from Mauremys reevesii (Reeves's turtle), 388 nucleotides. RefSeq lists it as uncharacterized. The record is from RefSeq and is a predicted model, not a curated record. The transcript is spliced from 4 exons. NCBI's taxonomy places the organism in Eukaryota, Metazoa, Chordata, Testudines, Geoemydidae.
ACUGUGGAAGAGCUGUGAAUAGAAUGCCGGAGUCCAGACUCUCAUUCAGAAGACCCUCCCUCCUCCUCCUCUUGCAAAAGUGACAGCUACAUAAAUAAAUAAGAGAUAGAUAGUCAGCACUUUCCUGCUGAUGAAGUCAGAAGAGCAAGAAAAUAGGGGGAAAGGAAAAAUUGAAGGAGAGAGAAAAUGUAGGAAGACAUGGAAGAGGAAAGGAUGCAGGAGAACAAACUCAGCAGAAAGGAAAUAGGCAGUGCUACUGUGGGAACCCUCCAUUAAACAAAGGCUUUGAAGCAAGCUCCAGAACUCCACUUCGUUACCAAGACAUUUGCAGGAAAGAUUCCAUGAGCUCCACUUCCUUUUCAUUGGGAAACUGAUUAAUAAAUAAAGG